AAAUUGAAGAGUUUGAUCAUGGCUCAGAUUGAACGCUGGCGGCAGGCCUAACACAUGCAAGUCGAGCGGUAGCACAGAGAGCUUGCUCUCGGGUGACGAGCGGCGGACGGGUGAGUAAUGUCUGGGAAACUGCCUGAUGGAGGGGGAUAACUACUGGAAACGGUAGCUAAUACCGCAUAACGUCGCAAGACCAAAGUGGGGGACCUUCGGGCCUCAUGCCAUCAGAUGUGCCCAGAUGGGAUUAGCUAGUAGGUGGGGUAACGGCUCACCUAGGCGACGAUCCCUAGCUGGUCUGAGAGGAUGACCAGCCACACUGGAACUGAGACACGGUCCAGACUCCUACGGGAGGCAGCAGUGGGGAAUAUUGCACAAUGGGCGCAAGCCUGAUGCAGCCAUGCCGCGUGUGUGAAGAAGGCCUUCGGGUUGUAAAGCACUUUCAGCGGGGAGGAAGGCGAUAAGGUUAAUAACCUUGUCGAUUGACGUUACCCGCAGAAGAAGCACCGGCUAACUCCGUGCCAGCAGCCGCGGUAAUACGGAGGGUGCAAGCGUUAAUCGGAAUUACUGGGCGUAAAGCGCACGCAGGCGGUCUGUCAAGUCGGAUGUGAAAUCCCCGGGCUCAACCUGGGAACUGCAUUCGAAACUGGCAGGCUAGAGUCUUGUAGAGGGGGGUAGAAUUCCAGGUGUAGCGGUGAAAUGCGUAGAGAUCUGGAGGAAUACCGGUGGCGAAGGCGGCCCCCUGGACAAAGACUGACGCUCAGGUGCGAAAGCGUGGGGAGCAAACAGGAUUAGAUACCCUGGUAGUCCACGCUGUAAACGAUGUCGAUUUGGAGGUUGUGCCCUUGAGGCGUGGCUUCCGGAGCUAACGCGUUAAAUCGACCGCCUGGGGAGUACGGCCGCAAGGUUAAAACUCAAAUGAAUUGACGGGGGCCCGCACAAGCGGUGGAGCAUGUGGUUUAAUUCGAUGCAACGCGAAGAACCUUACCUGGUCUUGACAUCCACAGAACUUUCCAGAGAUGGAUUGGUGCCUUCGGGAACUGUGAGACAGGUGCUGCAUGGCUGUCGUCAGCUCGUGUUGUGAAAUGUUGGGUUAAGUCCCGCAACGAGCGCAACCCUUAUCCUUUGUUGCCAGCGGUUAGGCCGGGAACUCAAAGGAGACUGCCAGUGAUAAACUGGAGGAAGGUGGGGAUGACGUCAAGUCAUCAUGGCCCUUACGACCAGGGCUACACACGUGCUACAAUGGCAUAUACAAAGAGAAGCGACCUCGCGAGAGCAAGCGGACCUCAUAAAGUAUGUCGUAGUCCGGAUUGGAGUCUGCAACUCGACUCCAUGAAGUCGGAAUCGCUAGUAAUCGUAGAUCAGAAUGCUACGGUGAAUACGUUCCCGGGCCUUGUACACACCGCCCGUCACACCAUGGGAGUGGGUUGCAAAAGAAGUAGGUAGCUUAACCUUCGGGAGGGCGCUUACCACUUUGUGAUUCAUGACUGGGGUGAAGUCGUAACAAGGUAACCGUAGGGGAACCUGCGGUUGGAUCACCUCCUUACCUUAAAGAA
Molecule: ribosomal RNA, 1550 nt
Filed under: Klebsiella variicola
Lineage: Bacteria; Pseudomonadati; Pseudomonadota; Gammaproteobacteria; Enterobacterales; Enterobacteriaceae
Description: bacterial SSU rRNA
Rfam family: Bacterial small subunit ribosomal RNA
Source: RNAcentral